UACGAAGGGGGCUAGCGUUGCUCGGAAUGACUGGGCGUAAAGGGCGCGUAGGCGGCUUUAUAAGUCGGGGGUGAAAGCCUGUGGCUCAACCCCAGAAUUGCCUUCGAUACUGUAGAGCUUGAGACCGGAAGAGGUAAGUGGAACUGCGAGUGUAGAGGUGAAAUUCGUAGAUAUUCGGAAGAACACCAGUGGCGAAGGCGGCUUACUGGGCCGGUUCUGACGCUGAGGCGCGAAAGCGUGGGGAGCAAACAGG
RNAcentral lists this ribosomal RNA (253 nucleotides) under uncultured bacterium. Its description in RNAcentral is "partial 16S ribosomal RNA". It matches the Rfam family "Bacterial small subunit ribosomal RNA", at positions 524 to 776 of the family's 1533-position model. The record is from RNAcentral.